This 403-nucleotide ribosomal RNA is filed under the name uncultured bacterium. Its description in RNAcentral is "partial 16S ribosomal RNA". It matches the Rfam family "Bacterial small subunit ribosomal RNA", at positions 28 to 526 of the family's 1533-position model. The record is from RNAcentral.
GACGAACGCUGGCGGCGUGCCUAAUACAUGCAAGUCGAACGCAGUGGGGACGGGUGAGUAACACGUGGGUAACCUCCCAUCAGAGGGGAUAACACUUGGAAACAGGUGCUAAACCGAUACUGAUGGAUGGACCCGCGGUGCAUUAGCUCGUGGGUGAGGUAACGGCGCACCAAGGCCACGAUGCAUAGUCGACCUGAGUGUGUAAUCGGACACACAUGGACUGGUACAGGGCCCAGACUACUACGGGCGGCAAGAGUAGGGAAUGUUCGGCACUGGACGAAGGUCUGACCGAGCAACGCCGCGUGAGUGAAGAAGGUUUUCGGACAGUACAACUCUGUUGUUAGAGAAGCGGUAUCUAACCAGAAAGCCACGGCUAACUACGUGCCGGCAGCCGCGGUAAUUC